RNAcentral lists this ribosomal RNA (253 nucleotides) under uncultured prokaryote. RNAcentral describes it as "partial 16S ribosomal RNA". It matches the Rfam family "Bacterial small subunit ribosomal RNA", at positions 525 to 777 of the family's 1533-position model. The record is from RNAcentral.
ACGGAGGGUGCAAGCGUUGCUCGGAAUUAUUGGGCGUAAAGGGUAGGUAGGUGGUCUCAUUUGUCUGAGGUGAAAGCCUUGAGCUUAACUCAAGAAGUGCCUUAGAAACGGUGAGACUAGAGUCCUGGAGAGGGUCGUGGAAUUCCCGGUGUAGCGGUGAAAUGCGUAGAUAUCGAGAGGAACACCUGCGGCGAAGGCGGGUUGCUGGGCUGACACUGACGCUGAGGCGCGAAAGCUAGGGGAGCGAACGGGA